UAGUUACCAAUUUUCAGAAUAAUUUCUUAUACCUAAAUGCACUAAAUCAUGGCAGUCUUCAAAAUCAGAAAAUCGUAUUGUAAAUUUAUUGUCUGGAGUGGCAUGAUAUUCUUUUUAAUAUUUAUUGUUACACGGUGGAUAAAUUCCUAUCAGCUCAUCGACGACGUUGACAGAAGAAAGAGAAUACUGAUAAUGGAUCAAUAUAUUAAAGCAAAAUCAACUUCCAAGGCUUGCAAACAACCAAAUUUGCCCGUAUAUUCUCCCCAAUUGAUGCAAUUUUUUGAAGAAGUUCAACCAAUUGACUGUAGUUCAGCAGGUUCACCGUGGGUAUCAUGUGAGAAUUCCGAAUGUAAAAUUGAAGACGAAGCAAAAAGGAAAUUUGGAGAAAUUACUUGUACGUUUACUGAUCAGAUACGAGUAGACGACUUCACUGUAGUAUCAGGAAAAUCGACGAUGAGAACAUCCGUCUAUAUUCUUAGAGAUAGUGAUGUUGUAAGUCAAUUUUGAAAUAGUAUAACAGUUAUUGUUAGGAUACACAGCAAGUAAAAUUAUAGCAAACUCACAACAAAGCAUCUGCCGAUGCGCCAAGAUUUUUAAUUAUAAUUUCCCGAAAAUAGUUGCAUUCUUAUAGAGCGCGCUUUUUAUUAGUCACGCUAGUGUGAGCCGUACGGCCAGUUGUCUCGCACUCUUUUUUAUCCUGAAACUGAAAUUUAGUAAAUCAUACAUGCAUUAAAUACCUGCAAUCUAAUGUACAAAACACAACUUCCGAAUUGCUAAAUUACGUAGAUAUGUUAGAUAAGUAAUAUAGGAACAAAACAUGAUAAUAUGUCAUUUUGCUUAGCUUUGCUUAUUUUUUCCAUAUAUAAAGUUUGUUGCACUAAGAUGCUUCACUCUAGCUGUAGACUAGGCCUUACACCGCGUGUGUAUUGUAGCUUCGCUCAAUAAAUAUUUUUAAAAAGACUUUUCCUUAAUUUGAGCAUAUAACAAUUGGCGCAGUCAGUAGGAUUUGUCAGGUAAAGGCAAAUCCGAUUCUAAUAAAGUUUAAAAAUCGAUUUACUAAGUGACUACGUGAAGCCGUUUGCUUUUCGUCGGUUCGGUAAACCGGAAACAAAAAACUGUCCAAACGAACUGUCCAAAACUGUGCAUCGUUUAAGUUUUGUGCGUUUGCCGAGUUAGCAGUUAGAAGCCGUUUGCUUCGACCUUGCCUAAUAAGACCUCCGAAAAAGAAGACUGUCAAAAGGACGUCUCACCCCGUUUCCCUCCUGCGAGGACCAGACCAAGCAGCUGUAUGUUUCGAAUCAUCCUAACCAUCGUCACACUAGUGGACUACUCAAGGUAGGUGGUUUGAAGAUAUUUGCCAUUUUCAUAUUUUUGUACGAAAAUCCUUUCCCUAUUCCCUAAUUGCUUUUAUUAUCGAAUAAUUUUGUGUCAAUCAUGACCGAACAAGGAGACAGUUAUUCUAGGAAAGAAUUGUCUGAAUUAAUUCCAAAUUUUGAUGGUGAUAAUAUUCCAUUACACCAAUUUGUUGAAACAGUAGAUUUUGUUUUCGAAAAAGCAAAAGCCAGUGACCAAGAAUAUUUAUUUAGAAUUAUUUUAAAUCGGUUAUCAGGUCGUGCAGGACGAGUGAUUCUCGCAAGGCAUUAUGAUAACUGGUUAAGUGUCAAAAAUUCAUUAAUUACUAAUUUCGGACUUGAACGUUCCGCUGAAUGUUUAAUUGCAGACCUCACACGAUUUAGAAAUACAAAUAAGCUUUCCAUUAAAGAAACUUAUAACAAAAUUGCCAAAAUUCGCGAUGAUCUUAUCGCAGUAGCUAUUGAAAACACUUCUGAGGAUGCAAACCCAAUUGAUGUUCUGUCAGAGUUUAUAGAUAAAAUAGCCAAAACAACAUUUUUAAAUAAUAUACCGAAAGAUGUUGAAAUAUCUAUUGCUCACGCUCAAGCGCAAAGUUUAGAGGUAGCUUUUUCCUAUGCGUAUUCGGCGCAUAAAAGGUUAAAAGAACGUGAAGAUCAGGAGAAAUUCGCUCAAUUUAAAUCUAAUAAUAAUAAACUUUCUCAAAAUAGAGUAAUAAACAAUAACAACAAAAACACAUAUUUCAAAAAAGAAACCAGUAGUAGUAAUGAGUUAUCUCCUAGGCCGAGUGCUUCAUCAACAAAUACGUUUAAUAGAUCAUUUAAUAGUAAUAACGAUAAUAAUCCAAAUCGCCGCUCUUUUGGUACCCCCUUCAAAGGUUUUCCUAAGCAACCCCCAAAAGUUAACACAUGCGAGAUCCAAACUGAAAAUCCCGAAUCUGAUCCUGAAGAUAAUGAAGUUGAACUGGACAAUUUAAACUUGGAUGUGAACGAAGCAGAAGAGGGUUGUUCGUUCAACUAAAUGAAAAUCCCUCAACCUUAUGUAAUUUUAAGAUUAACACUACCAAAAUAAUGACAGAAAUUGUUCCAUUUAUUAUUUCAAAAAUUAAAGGUAUUCCAGUCAAAUUAAUGAUUGAUACAGGUGCCUCUAUAAAUUUGAUCAAAUAUAAACCAGAAUUGAAAAAAUUUAUAGAUUUUAUAGAUACUGUUAGUGUUUCAGGAUUAAAUGCUGAUUCGUUUAAAACAUUAGGUUCCAUCACAACAAAAUUCAAGGAAAAAAACGUCAAGUUUCAUGUCGCACAUUUAGAUAUAGAAUUAGAUGGAAUACUAGGCAUUGAAUUUCUUAAAACGUUGAAUUGCAAUUUAGAUUUACAUCACAAUAACAUUUCUUUCUUAGAAAACAACGACAAGAUCCCGAUUCAUUUAAAAAAGGAAACUAAAGUGCUUAAUCAUAUAGUACUUCACAAGCGUGCCGAACAAAUAAUUAGGAUAAAAACUAACUUAAAACCGGGAAGUGAAGGUAUUUUGCCAAAAAUGAAUAUAAGUGAUAAACUUUUAAUUCCUGAAUGCCUAGUUAGAGUAGACAAAAAUCAAGAUAUAUUCACCACUGCAGUAAAUUUGACAGAUAAAGAGUUAAAAUUUUCAGUCAAUAAAGUAAUUUUAGAGGACGCACCUACCCACGCAUUUCAACCGAAUAUAAUUAAAAGAAAUGGUAGAUUUGAUAAAUUAAAAGAAAAUCUAAGGCUAGACCAUUUGAACAGUGAGGAGCGUAACGAAAUCCUUAAAUUAUGUUAUGACUUUUCAGAUAUUUUCUAUUUAGAAGGAGACCAAUUAACCUUUACUUCUUUAGUAAAACAUGAAAUUAAAACUACCCAUGAAAACCCGAUACACACUAAGACGUACCGUUUCCCAAAUGUACACAAAGAAGAGGUAAAUAAACAGGUAUCAAAAAUGUUAGAACAGAAAAUUAUUAGACCAAGUAGUUCCCCAUACUCUUCUCCAAUUUGGGUCGUACCUAAAAAGGUUGACAGUUCAGGCAAAACCAAAUGGAGAAUGGUCGUAGACUAUAGAAAUUUAAAUAAAAUCACUAUCCCAGACAAACAUCCAUUACCAAAUAUAGAGGAAAUUUUAGAUAACCUAGGACACGCCCAAUAUUUCUCUACACUUGACUUAACUAGCGGAUUCCAUCAGAUAGAAGUUCAUCCAAAUUCAAUUCCCAAAACUGCAUUUUCCACUCCCACUUCUCAUUAUGAAUUUUUAAGAAUGCCAUUUGGCCUAGCUAAUGCACCAGCCACUUUUCAGCGAAUGAUGAAUAACGUCUUAACAGGUCUUACCCCUACACAAUGUCUCUUAUACCUGGAUGAUAUUAUUAUUUUUGGGAAUUCCUUAGAAGACCACUGUAAUAAAUUGCGUAAUGUUUUAAGACGACUUCGAGAACACAAUCUCAAAAUUC
This 3801-nucleotide unclassified non-coding RNA is filed under the name Agrilus planipennis (emerald ash borer). RNAcentral's name for it is "uncharacterized LOC112906372, transcript variant X1". The record is from RNAcentral. Lineage: Eukaryota; Metazoa; Arthropoda; Insecta; Coleoptera; Buprestidae.